ACCUUUUCAUUUCCAUUAGCAACUUCAUUCAUAAUUUUCAAAUUAUUACGAGUUUAUAGAAUUAAUGUAAAACAUGAUUUUCAAAUACCAACAUUUCUAAUUCAAUUCCCAACAUCAACCACAACCCACAACCUGUCUACGGAGCCUCUAAGUACAAUAUAAGAGUAAUUUAGAAAUGCCGGCAACAAGGCCCCAGCUAUACCUCAAAAUACAGUACAUGAUAAACAAAAGAUACAUGACCCCGAAAUGAAGUGGGGCUCACCAAAUAAGCUGAAAAGAGUGUAUUGCUAUCGCUGAUCAAUGCCGCCUGUUGUAGAAUUACCUGCAUCCAUUAAAGAUGCAGUGCCCCCGGCAAAAGGAACGUUAGUACUGUCGAAUAGCACUAGUUAAAACAUAUGUCAACACACAGAAACAACAAGUCACAAUCCACAAUAUACAAAUGUCCAGUUAAAACAUAAAAAAAUUUAAAAUACGAACUUCAUAUACAGUUUUUGGUUGGGAGAUCAUUAGCGCAGAUAUACCACCGUCUUUGUUAGCACGGAGACUGAUCACGCCCGAUCGGCUAGGUCAUCUCCCCACGAAUAAUGUGGUUUGACAAGUAAUGCGAAAUAAAGUUGUUACCAAGAGUAGUACCACCAUGUGCGCAACAUGGCGUCCGAUCUCCACCCGAUCAGCUAGGCUGCCUUCCCACAUAUGCCGUGUGGGUUGACUUUUCCAAUCCACAAUUGUUACCAGUUUAUCUCAAUUAAGGGGAAUAAUAUCAUAAUUUUUCCAAUAUUUCAAUUUUAUCCCAAAUAAAGGGAAUAAUCACAAUCCACCCAUACACCGGCACGUGUAGUUUCAGGUGUGGGCCUUAUGACCCACCCUUCCUUGGUUUUGCUAAUGAUGCUCCCAAAAAUAUUUUUUUGAUUGGAUUUGCACACAAAGGUAACAUAAAUACAAUUGUACUCACCUCAACAUCUUUCACAUUGUAUAAAUUCUUAUUAGUAUUUUCAGUUACUCACAACAAUAAUAUUUCCUUGGCUCAUUUUGCCAUUCACAAGAUUCUUUAUUCUUGUCACGGUGAUCGUAUUUCAUAUUCCACACUUUCACCUCUUUGAAUUUCAAAAGUCACCAUCAAAUAUCAACAUAUAGAAUAUUUCAGCAAUCAUAUAACUCGAAUUUAUUAGUAAUGGAAACUUUAAACACACAAGGUUCCUUCCUAAAUAAUGGGGCAUACCGACCAAGGAACACAAGCACACAUCAAAAUCAUAAGCAAUCAAUACACCAUUUAUUCUUGCAAUACUCCUUCCCAGAAAUAAAAAUAUACAAUUUCAAUACCUGAAUAUGUAAGAACUCGAAUCACACUAGAUAUAUUUAUAACGCAAAGCAUUAGUUAAAGCAACAACUUAUGGGCAUGAAUUGAGUACAAAAGCCUUUAGGCAAUUCUAUUUUCGAAAUCAUUUUUAAACAAUCGAGUCGAGACUCAUUUCAUAUUCUUUAUCGCAUUCUCUCAAAUCAUUUGCACUACUAGCCACAGUCAUAACUUAAAUUCUUGGCACGUUGGCCACACUCUAUUUCUUCAAUUCGCUUAUUUUAUUUUCAAGCAUCAUUAAAGAUAAGCAACAACAUGGAACUUCCAAUCAAAACUUUAGAUACACAUAUAAGCAAUUAUGAGUCUUAGGCAUAUCGAGAUUUUCUCACCCAAUUGGUAUACUAGUUUUCAUUUAAAACAUGACUCAAAGCCACAACAUUUUAAUAUGCAAACCAUACUUUGAACAUCUAUCUUUCGACAUAAGGUUUAUUCGGAAUGAACAAGUUUAUAGGGAAUAACCCGGAAUAUAGAAGUUUGGAAUCUUGAGCCAAUCAUACUUGAUCUUAUGGAAACAAUAUGGAACUCGAUUUUAAGAGAGAAAGUUUAGCCAACAUACCUCAAUUGAGCUUCCUUACACUCUAAAAUGUUCCGAAAAUCNUAGCAACNNNNNNNNNNNNNNNNNNNNNNNNNNNNNNNNNNNNNNNNNNNNNNNNNNNNNNNNNNNNNNNNNNNNNNNNNNNNNNNNNNNNNNNNNNNNNNNNNNNNNNNNNNNNNNNNAUGGCUCAUUUGUCGCAUAUCUAGCCUAAUAGUGCGGCCCAUGAAACGGUUUUGCAUUCGCAUAAUAGCCGUGAAAUUGACAUCAAGAUGAUCCAGAAAACUGACCCACUCUGCGACCAGUCUGCGGUCCGCAGAGUGGUUCUACGGCCGUAGAAUGGGUUGCAGAAAUGCCUACUUUUUUCCCAACAUUUUCCUUAACUCUCCAACGCACUGUUCAAUCCAAAAAGUCCGAACAACGGCGAGCUUGCGAGUCAUGAAGAAUUUCUACUAUUAUUAUCCUCUACGCAUGCCCCGACAUCACAGAACCUCGAUUUUUAGGAAACCUUUCACGGGGCCUUACAUCCUGCCCCACUUAAGAUCAUUCAUCCUCGAAUGAGGAUCAAGGUUCACUAUUAACAUCUUAUGCACUCAGUCUUCAUACCACAUACCAUCAACCCCAAAUUUGACUAACUUCCUAAAUUCCCAAAAAUAAUUUCGCCAAAGUUUUCCCUGUAACUAGGCCUAUUCACUUGUCAGAGUCACACCAAAAUAACUCCUAAUAACACAUCUACAACUUGACAAAGCAUCACCAUGUAUAACAACAUCACUAACCUCAUCAUUACAAGCAUUAUAUUAUCAAGAGUGGUAUCUGGACAUGAACUACAUAUAUUUAAAUCAUAAUACCUAGAAAGUACCUUUCAAAUCACAAUCAUUUGACUAUACACUCAAGUGAGAACACUUUAUUUCCUUAACACUUUUGGCCCUCAAGGUGGCCUCCUCGACUUACAUAUUUCGCCAUAACAUAUUAACGGAGGCAAUCUCAACUCCUGGACUUUUCUAACAAGGAUAGCAAAUAGUUUCUCCUCAUAAUCCAAUUACCCAUUAACUUCACCUUCUUAGACAUAGACACAUGAAACACCGGGUACAUGGAGAACAAUAAUAGGGAAACAUCAUACUCAUAGCUUGGCCUAUUUACUUCAAGAUUCCAUAAGGCCUAACGUGACUACACAUACUUUACCUUUAUUAACAAUUCACAUAGCAUCCUUAUGGAGAAACUAUUGAGAAUAACCCGUUCACUUUCUUCAACUCUAAAUCUCUACGCCAAAGACCCAAAUUAAACCCCUGGCGACCUCUAACAAUUAGUCUAAGAUGCGCUAGCAUGAGUACGACCAUAAAAUUUCUACCUAAUAUAUUUGAUCACGGGACAAUGAUUCUUCUUUGACAUAUUUGAACCUUUAACCCCCCAUAGAUUUAAUACAAGGAGGAACAACGGGGUUCGAGGUUGGCUAGAAUUAUUCAAGAAUCCAUCAAUGGGCUGAGCAGAGUAUUUCAUGAGGUUGUAUAUCCUAAAAGACAUGAAGCUUAUUACUGAUAACGCUGACAAGAUUAAUCAUAGUGAUGACAUCAUUGAUUCGACAAAUGAGGCAUAUAGUUAACUUGUAUAUUGGCAAUAGAAAUCCUUAAGGAGGAACAGUCAAGUACGUGACACCAAUUACCUACUUGAGUGUAGGGAAAAUUUGUUUAAUUUAAAAUGAGAAUAUUCUGGCACCCUGAAUGUGAUUUGGGUUUCAAAAUACAUGAAGUUGCAUUAUGCUCUUAAGAGUAAAUGGCACAAGGAAUCUAUGCCACAAGCCUGCGAGGAUGAAAAAGAAGUUGAACACUUGUCAUAUUACUAUCAUUCUGACAGCUUAACCCCUUUCCGAUAGUUGAUCCUAUAUGAGAGAACUAGAGAUGCGACAAACUUGUCUUUCAAAUCAAUAUACUCAUGAUAUGUGCCCAAAAAUCUAGAAGCAUCUAAUUUCAGCCUUUCACGAGUGAAACCACAUAGCUGGGACAUCUAAAUAUUUGGGAUGAAAUCAUAUUUUGGUUAGAGAAAAUGAACAUUUUUCUAUGAGAUAGGCAUGUUUCUGCCAUAAUAACUCUCAGGAUGCAAUACCAGGCCACUUCAUGGAAGACUACAAUACUAGGUAUAAAGUGAUCUACUUACUAUGAGACGAUUUAGGUGAACAUGAUAGUCAUACUGAGAUGUGUAAACAACAAGAUCUCCUUGUGACGAAUUUGUGAUAAAUCUCAAAUUUCUCAGAAACUUUAUGAGGACAAGUGGAUCCUUUUAAAUUGACAUGUACGCACAUGAUAGGUGCUGAUAUAUGCUCCCAUGUUACUAGACAGUGGAAAGGAUUCAUGAUAAUAUACACAAAUGAACAAAGUGAUUGUUCAAACCAUAUGAGCGACAUACACCGGAGAGAAAAAGAGUGGCUCAAGAAGGAUCUCAACACUUGGCUGCUUUACAUUAGAUUUUAUACCACAUAGGUAAAUAUUAUGGUGGUGCGUGCAUCGGCACUAGUGAGCAGAUGUUAUCCAUUUGAAUCAAAAGGUUUUGUACGAAAUUCAUUAGGUAUAGUCCCUUGUUGAGAAGUUAGGAAAGCAAGUAGGAAGUAUUAAUCCUAGAGUUAUAACUCAAUUCAAGGACAUAAUUAUAGAGCUCAAUUUCUCAAGAGGUUGUAAAUAAGAGAAUAUGUGAUAGAGUGGCUUCACGAAUAAUGCGUCUCGUUUAAGGAGUAGAUACAAAGAAUGACUCAAAAAGUUGUUUCGGUUCUAUCCCAACAUCUAUAGUAGCAUAAGCAGUGACAUAUGACAAAGUGGAACCGGGAUCAAUAAGAGCAUACACAUCAUGAGAUUAGACGAUCAAUAUACCUGUAACCACAUCUGGAGAAACCUCAAAGUCUUGACGUCUACUCAUAGCAUAAAACCUCUGGGGCCCUCCCGAGCCUCAAGCUGGGGGAGGCGCAGUGGAUGUAGUAGCUACAAAACUGGAUGGCUGGGUCAUACCCCUGCCCAAGCUCUGGCGAACCAAAUAAUAAUCUCUUUGAAAGUGACGUGUCAUACCACACUUGUAUCAUACAUUGGUACCAUAGUGACAUACUCCACGAUGACAUCUCCCACACUUCACACAACGGGGAUAAGGUCCGCUAAACUGACUCAUCCCACUGACCUGAUAUUUACCCUUUUCGCAUACAUCAUAAGCAUAGCCCUUAUCCUUCCUCCAAGCUUCCAAUGCGGUAGUAACAAUUUCAGUGCCAGAUUGUUGUGUGGCCCUUUGGAAUUGCCCAAAUCUACCACCCCUAACGCACUGCUGAGCAUACUCACAACACGACGCCAAAUGUUUCUUCCCGCAUGACGGACAUAACUGGAUGGGUGUUCCCAACCUAGGGCAUUUGUUCUUCUUGUGCCCCAUCUUUCCACAACCAUAACAUAUUUCAAGGGUCAUCCAACAUGUUCCCAAGUGUCGCUUGCUGAAAAUCACACAACCUGGUUCAUUAGCACCAACAACCCUCUUUCGUUUCUUAGAUUUUCUCACCACGCAAUCCGGUGGUAUGGUGACAUUGGUCGGAAUAAGGACACUUCCCUUAGCAACAAGUUCUUCCAAUCCUCCACGGCUCGACCCAUUCUCCCAACGAACUCUGGUAUAAUCUCCUUCAAAUUUGAUGGCGCGGUAUUCCCUCCUCACUGUUUCGAAUUCGGGGAUUACUCAUCUGGAAAAAUGAGACCUAACGAGGAAAUUAGCUUCCUAUCUUGAGCUCUAUCGCACGAUAUAGAGUAUCAAAGAAGUGUGAAAUUCUUAAAUGCCCAAGUAGCCUCCUCAUUAUAGAUGUGGUCGACAACACACCGAUAAGAAGUACUCUACCAGACACGGCUCCGAGAUAUCCUAGGGCACUUUAAAAACCUUAGGCUCUGAUACCAAGUUUGUCACACCCCAAACUCGGGGAGCGCAACCGGCGCUCAACCGAGAGAACCCGAUCGAGCAAUCCUGUUAGAUUACCUUCUACCCAAACGCAUCUAUGAAUAAAUAGGAGAUGUACUCCAUUACUCAAAUACUGAAAAGAUUCUAUUAACAACUUCCUUUUCAUUCUCAUUAGCAGCUUUAUUCAUAAAUUCUUAUUAGUACUUCCAGUCACUCACAAUAACAAUAUUUUCUUAGCUUAUUUGGCCAUUCACAAGAUUCUUUUUUCCGGGCACGAUGGAUGUAUUUCAUAUUCCAUACUUUCACCUCUUUCAAUUUUAAAGGUCACCAUAAAAUAUCAACAUAUGGAAUAUUUCAACAAUCAUAUACCUUGAAUUUAUUAGUAAUGGAAACUUUAAACACACAAGGUUCCUUCCUAAAUAAUGGGGCAUACCGACCAAGCAACACAAGCACACAUCAAAAUCAUAAGCAAUCAAUACACCAUUUAUUCUUGCAAUACUCCUUCCCAGAAAUGACAAUAUACAAUUUCAAUACCUGAGUAUGUAAGAACUCGAAUCGCACUAGAUAUAUUUAUAAAGCAAAGAAUUAAUUAAAGCAGCCACUUAUGGGCAUGAAUUGAGUACAAAAGCCUUUAGGCAAUUCUAUUUUCGAAAUCGUUUUUAAACAAUCGAGUCGAGACUCAUUUAAUAUUCUUUAUCGCAUUCUCUCAAAUAAUUUGUACUACUAGCCACAGUCAUAACUUAAAUUCUUGGUACGUUGACCACACUCUAUUUCUUCAAUUCGCUUAUUUCAUUUUCAAGCAUCUUCAAUUUAGGCACACAUAUAAGCAAUUAUGAGUCUUAGGCAUAUCGAGUUUUUCUCACCCAAUUGGUAUACUAGUUUUCAUUUAAAACACGACUCAAAGCCACUACAUUUUAAUACGCAAACCAUACUUUGAACAUCUAUCUUUCGACAUAAGGCUCAUUUGGAAUUAACAAGUUUAUAGGGAAUAACCCGGAAUAUAGAAGUUAGAAAUCUUGAGAUAAUCAUACUUGAUCUUACAUAAACAAUAUGGAACUCGAUUCUAAGAGAGAAAGUUUAGCCUACAUACCUCAAUUGAGCUUCCUUACACUUUAAAAUGUUCCNNNNNNNNNNNNNNNNNNNNNNNNNNNNNNNNNNNNNNNNNNNNNNNNNNNNNNNNNNNNNNNNNNNNNNNNNNNNNNNNNNNNNNNNNNNNNNNNNNNNNNNNNNNNNNNNNNNNNNNNNNNNNNNNNNNNNNNNNNNNNNNNNNNNNNNNNNNNNNNNNNNNNNNNNNNNNNNNNNNNNNNNNNNNNNNNNNNNNNNNNNNNNNNNNNNNNNNNNNNNNNNNNNNNNNNNNNNNNNNNNNNNNNNNNNNNNNNNNNNNNNNNNNNNNNNNNNNNNNNNNNNNNNNNNNNNNNNNNNNNNNNNNNNNNNNNNNNNNNNNNNNNNNNNNNNNNNNNNNNNNNNNNNNNNNNNNNNNNNNNNNNNNNNNNNNNNNNNNNNNNNNNNNNNNNNNNNNNNNNNNNNNNNNNNNNNNNNNNNNNNNNNNNNNNNNNNNNNNNNNNNNNNNNNNNNNNNNNNNNNNNNNNNNNNNNAAUACAUGCAUGCAAGGUAAGCACCCCCAUCCCAUGAACUACCUUACUAAUUGCCCAUUCUAGUUAACUUUUGAAAUUAAGAGUUUGGUGAUAGAACCUUACCUCUUAGGAUGAAGACCUCUUAAUAAUCUUCAAGGGUUUAUGCAAGAAUUGAAGAGUAACUUGAUGAAGAUCACUUUCUCCCUCUAGGACUGUCUCUCUCACUCUAAAGUAUCAGAUUUUGCUCAAAAAUGGUCUAUGGGAUGGGUUUUAACGGAAUUGGGUCGGGUUUAAUUUCUAGUUAACUUUUGAAAUUAAGAGUUUGGUGAUAGAACCUUACCUCUUAGGAUGAAGACCUCUUAAUAAUCUUUAAGGGUUUAUGCAAGAAUUGAAGAGUAACUUGAUGAAGAUCACUUUCUCCCUCUAGGACUCUCUCUCACUCUAAAGUAUAAGAUUUUGCUAAAAAAAUGGUCUAUGGGAUGGGUUUUAACGGAAUUGGGUCGGGUUUAAAUAACCAAAAAAUGAAGCUCCGGAACAAGUUCAGUGGUCGCAUAUGCGACCGCAUAAUGGUUAUGCGGUUCGCUAACCAACCGCGAAAUUGGGGUGCCAGAACUGGAAGGAAACUGACCUCGUCUGCGGUCACUAUGCGGCUCGUAAACCUGUUUUGCGGUCACAUAAUGCACCGCAGAACGGUUUUGCGGUCGCAUAUGCGCCAUGGAACCUCUCUUCGAAAACUCACAAGGCUAGAUAUGCGACUAUAGUGCGGCCAGCAAAACGGUUAUGCAGUCGCAUAAUGGCUGCGAAAUUGACAUCAAGAUGACCCAGAAAACUGCCCCACUCUACGACCAGUUUGCGGUCCACAGAGUGAUUCUGCGGCUGCAGAAUGGGCCGCAGAAAUGGCUACUUCUGCCCAAUAUUUUCCUUAACUCCCCAACGCACUGUUCAAUCCAAAAGGUCUGAACCGCGGCUAGCUUGCGAGCCGCGAAGAAUUUCUACUAUUAUUAACCUCUACGCCUGCCCCGACAUCACGAAACCCCGAUUUUUAGGAAAAUAUUUACGAGGCCUUACAGUCACGGUAUUUUCGUAUAUGUAUUUAUGAGAUUUUACUCUUAAACUCAUUUUCUUAUGUUUUUAAACUUAAAGAAAUGCGUGGUUUAUUGAGGUUGUCGGCCUGCCUAGUAUAUGUCGAUAGGCACCAUCACGACAUGUGAGAUUUGGGUCGUGACAGGUAUACAUCAUAUUUAUUGUAAACCAAAAUUAUUUUAAAAUAUUAUUUUCUAUAGCUACCUUUUAUAUUUUAUAACAAAAUAGGUGUUUAUGGUCCUCUCUCUUUCUUUCAAUUAACAUACAAUUCUCUCUCAGAAUUUUUCUUCUUUCUCUCUCUCCCCCUUCUCUCUCUCUCUUCGAGCAAAAUAGUUGCUUCUAAUCGUGAAUUCUUUAGCCGAAUCCUCUAGGGUUACUGCAAUUGAAAAUACUUCUAAACUGUUGGGAGAAAGAGGAGAAAGACAGACCUUUUCUGUACGAAUCCGAUGAACUUUCUUCUCUUCUUGGCUGGAAAACGCCAUCUCCCACGAAUUUUCUUCUCUUCUUUGCUAUUUAGUCUCAUACAAUGAUACAAAUGCACUGUAUUCUGUACAAAUUCACUCAAAUACAUUAUAUUUUUGUAUAAAUAUAUUUUUUUGCUUGUAUUUAUGUAUUUCGAAGGUGUAUAUUUUUUUUAUUAUAGUUGAAUACAUGAUAUAAACAUUGAAAUACACUGAAUGAAAACAUUGAAAUAGAACAAAAUAUAAACAGUGAAUACAUUUAAUCUUAAAAUAUAACUAAAUACAGUAAAAUACACUGAAUACAAAUAGAAAUACAGUUAAUACAACCAAUGAAAUAUAUUAAAUACAGCAUUAAUAACAUGUAUUAGGAAUAACUAAAAUACUAUUAAUACAAAUAUAUUUGAAUACACUGAAUACAAAAUAGCGAAUACAGUAAAUACAAACACUGAAUCUAAUGAAUGCAAUAGUAGAAAACAAAUACUGAAACACACUAAAUACAAAAGUUAAAUACAACAGUUAUAUACAACUGAAUUUUUUUUCUAAUUAAUUGUGUUGAUAAUGAAGCAUGUUAGAAUUGAUUUUGUUGAGUUAUAUUAGGAGUGUAUUAAGCUAAUUAAUCCUAUUUCUGUUAUUAGAUAGCAGGACAUUUUUAAGAUGAUUGUCGUUACUGUAUUCAUGAAUACAUGGUGCAAAUACAUGUGAAUACAGUCGCGUACAGCUGUAACCCCCUGUUUUUAGGCGACUUUUGUUACUGUAUUCAUGAAUACAGUUGCGCGAAUACAUCGAAUACACUAUCGUAAUAACUGAAUAGUAGUUAUAGGAAGUAAUUAUGUAUAUGAUAGUUAUAGGAAGUUAACAACCACUAAACAAUCGUGGUUUCUGAAAAUUCCUCGUCUCUUAUAUCUCGGAGUCUAUUCGAAGCAUAAUAUCUUGACUUGUGAACGGUAAAAUGUUCAUUAAUUAAUCAUUUAUUGAGUAAACAUGACCUCUAUUUGAAAUUAAAGCUAAUAUAAUGUAGUACAUUUUCGUAUUACUUGGUCAACUUUGAUGGCCACAUAUUCAUGACUUCGUGUUCAAAAAAAAAGAUGUUCCCUCAUUUCGCAACUUGCCUCUUAUUGGAGAAAUAGUAGAAAUAAAGAAGUGAGAAAUUCAUUAAUAAUAUAUUUGUUGUAUUAUGCAAACUAGGCAUGUUUAUGUGGCUUAUAUAUAGGGAAAAUGUAAAUGCUGGUCGUCAUUAGUUAUUUUUUGUAGCAUUCUCUAUUUAUGUGUAUGUGUAUAUAAUAAACAAACACCUUACCAGUGUUUAAAUAACACUUUUAACUUGCACUUUUAAUGUCCUCCUUCAGCUUAUUGGUCCAGUUCCAGUAUUGGCCUCAAUGUAUUUUUAGGUUUAGCAUUGCCCUUAACGUUUUCUUUUAGUUUAACAUGUCCAUAAAUUAACAGACUAAUAUUGUGGCUUUUUAUCAAUAAUGUGGCAAUAUAAGAAGACCCUUUUUAUCAACAUGCCCAAAAAAAAUACAAGAAUCUUGGUUAAGGAGAAGAAUUGUUUGUAGCUGAAUAAAGGGGUGUUAAUUUUUUUUUCCUUCAAUUGGGGUUUGUUGUGAAUAAAUUCAGUAUUCUGGAUUUAUACUGUUUUAUUGUGUUUUUUUAAUUCUGAAGAAGACCCUUUUGGAUUUAGGGGCUAAAGUUCAGUUCUUUAAGUUAUUUCUUAGAAUUUUGAGAAUGUUUGGAUUUUUUUUUUUUUGCUUUACUGGUGCUAAACACAAAUUCUGAAGAAGACCCUUUUGGAUUUAGAGGCUAAAGCUCAGUUCUUUAAGCUAUUUCUUGGUAUAUUAAGAAAAAAGAUUGGAUUUUUUUGAUUUAUUGGUGUUUGGGUUGUGGUGGAUUGUUCUGAUUUUAACCUUUGUUUUGGUUGGUGAAUUUCCUUAUCCGGGGUUUUCUUGAUUGUUUUUUAUUGUGUUGGAUUCUGGUGCAAAGACUCAAUUUUUUUAACAGUUUCUACUGUUUUUUUCCUUCCUCAAACAGUCUAUCUACCAUCCCAAGAUAGGAGUAAGGUCUGCACUAUCAUCUCUAAACCCCAUUUUUGGGACUCCACCGGGUCUAUUGUUGUUGUGGCAAUUUACGAUCGGUCCAGGUAUAACUUAAUGCGAAUUAAUUAUCAAAUCCAUAUGUAUAAAUUCAACCCAUGCAUAUCAUUGAACCCGAAUUUAAAAUUAGCCUUUCACCUCGAUUCUUUUCUUCUUCCUCAUACAAUGCCCUUCCCUAUACAAUACCCUUCCAUGAACCUAACAACUUUUCUCAACAAGAAAUUUGACAACCAAGAAACACGAAUUGACAUUGCACCUUCUUAUUAGUCUCAUACCUGCUAAUAUAACAAAAUAUUAAGAAACCAGGCAGGCACUUUUUUCAAUCCUUUGUCCGUUUGUUUCUUUAUGCAACAAAACCACAAGUAUUUGCAGAGAAUUCUUUUAAAAUAUAAAAUUUAUUCUAUUGGGUUUGUAUGUCACGCCCCGAAAUUAGGAUGAGGCGUGAUGACAAUCAACCUAUCUUACUUGUCGAACAAAACUUGUUCUAACUAUCGAAAAUUCUAUAUAGAACAUCAUACCCAAGAGACUCAUAAAUAAAUCUUAAGAUAAUAGAUGUUUGAAAGCUAAAUGAUAACUUAAACACUAACAUGUCUGACAACUGAGUCCACUAACAAAGUAUCUAAAGAAUCUGGAGUCCAUUGCAUUUGGCACCCCUAAUGUCUAUCUUUUUUUUGUGAUUUGCAACCUGUCAUGUUUUGUUUUACGAUUUUAAUCCUAAGCUCUUUAUUCACUUGCAAAACAAUAAAAUCAUCAUUUAUAUAAAUUUUUCAUGAGGGCAACAUAGAAAAUACAAAUAAAAUAUCUUCUUUUUUUUUAAGUUAUUUUUUUAUGGUGGGACGUUAAUCCUAGUGAAACUCUUGCCGCCAUCAUCAUUGCAUCGUGGGAGACAUGGUUAAGCUCUCCAAGCAUAAAACGCGCUAAAGGCAGCGUCAAUUUUACCGAGAAUAAAUAGCACAUCCAGUAUAUCAUCAAUGGAUAAGAGCAAGGAGAAACGGAAAAGUCGAUUGAAGAAGGAGAAAUUGAAAGGUAAUAAGUUCAGAGUAAACAAAUUCCAUUCGUAUGCUCUUUAAUUCGUCGAUGGGUAUUGAAUUGCCAAAAGCUUAUUGUUUGCAAUGCGUAAGAUGCAAUCCAUCAUUAACAUGUUCUUGUCCCAUCCUCUAUCUGCUAUUGAUUUUCUUUUUUUAAAAAAAUAAAUCACAAAACUCUAACUCACUACAACAAUGCACCAGAAAGAAAGGUUUGCAAAUCUAUCAAAAUUUCAAACAACUCUGAAUACUAUCAUGUACAUCAAUAAAGAAAGAUCAAUUCAUUUAAGUUCUUGCUCUACUUUGGAUAAAACAGGCCUUGUGUCAAUUUAGCUUUUUUGUUGGCCGUAGUUGUUUACUUUUAUUGAAUAUUCUGAUACCAAAAGUAGUUCUUCAAUAUGUAUUUUUUUUUAUCUAAUCUAGAAAUUGAGCUAGCUAAAAUAAUUUUAAACCUUGCAUGAGCUUUUUACAUUGAAGAUUCACCAUGGAGGUGAAUUCUUAGAUGUACAUUUGGGAGGCAAGAUAGAUUUUAUUGAUAAGUGUGAUCCACAUAAAUGGUCAUUGCAAACCUUGGAAUGGAUUGGAACAACGAGAUUAAGAUACAGCAGUAAGAAAAGAGGAUAAAAAGAAAAAUCUAGCAGGAAAUGGCGAAGUUAGUGUAAAGGGGAGGAAAGAGGGGAAGGAAAAAAAGAAAGAUAAAGUGAUGGAGAAAGCCAAGAGUGCCAAUUUUGCCGGGUUACUACUGGAGGACUCAAGUACAGAAUCUGAGAAUGAUAACAUCUCUCCUAAGUAUGAUUCAGAUGACAUGUGCAGUAUUAAUAGCGAUGAUGAUGAAAAGGUUAGAAAGGUUGAAAAUGUUGCAUUUAGGGCAGAAACAGACAUGGAUAAUUUAACAUUUAGGUUGGGAAAGACAUUCAUUGAUGCAAUAGAAUUUAGAGCUGCACUGAGAGCUUAUUCUAUUAAAAAUAACAAGAAAAUUUCCUUCAAAAAGAAUGAAUCUGAUAAAAUUUCUGCAAAAUGUUGUGAUCAAUGUCCACGGCGCAUAUAUGCAUCUAAAAAGGCACCAGAUGACCCCACAAUCACGAUAAAAACUUUAGUUGGGAAACAUUCUGAUGAUUGUUUGUUUGUUUAUGUCAACAAAAAUGUGAAAUCUCGAAUGAUUGCCAAAUAUUUCCUGCAUUAUUUGAGAAUACAUCCAGAUGUAUCAGUAGGAGAUUUCAUGGACAAAAUACAUGAAGAGAUGAAUGUUGAAGUUUCAGUGAGCAAAGUGUAUAGAUGUGAUGACCCAAAAGGUCAUCUUAUGUUUUAAAACUCGAAUCUGCGCUCUUAAGCCUUAAAAAUCUCAUUUUUUUUCCCUCCUCGAUUUGUGUGCACAGUUCGGACAGGUUUCCGAAAAGCUUUUAUGUUGAAAAUUGAUGAAAAUAAGAAUUUAUGCCUUAAAAGUUAAUUUUAGUUUACUUCGGUCAAUAUUUUUAGUAAACGGGCCCGGAUCCGUAUUUUGAUGAUCCCGGUGGGUCCGUAUCAAAUUAUGGGACCUGGACGUAUGCCCGGAAUCGAAUUUGGAGGUCCCUAUCUCAAGUUAUGAAUUUUUGAUGAAAAUUAAAAAUCUGAAAAAUUAAUUAUUUUUAAGAAUUGAUUGAUGUUGGGCAUUGUUAGUGCCGGGUCCGUAUUCUGGUUCCGGAGCCCGGUACAGGUUUAUUAUGAUAUUUAAGACUUGUCUGUGAAAUUUGGUGAGAAACGGAGUUGAUUUGACGUGAUUCGAACGUCCAGUUGAGAAAAUAGAAAUUUUAAAGUGUUCUUGAAAAUUUCAUUUGAUUUGGUGCUAAAUUCGUAGUUCUAGGUGUUAUUUUGGCGAUUUGAUCGCGCGAGCAAGUUCGUAUGAUAUUUUUAGACUUGUGGACAUGUUUGGUUUGGAGCACCGAGAGCUCGGGGUGAGUUUCGGAUAGGCCACGGGAUAUUUUGGACUUUGGAAAUCUGGUAUUUUGCUGCAGCAAGUGUUCUGGCAUGUCCUUCUUCGCGUUCACGAAGGUACUCUCGCGAACGCGAAGAGUAAACUGGGCAGCUGAAGGUUUCUUCUUCGCGAACGCGAAGCGAUGAGGGCGUUACCCUUCGCGAACGCGACAAGCCCAUCGCGAACGCGUAGUGUUAGGCAUUGGGGAUGGGGAGUCAGCCGUUCCUUCAUCGCGAACGCGAAGGCCAGGGGGGAGUAACCAUCGCGAACACGAGCUGGGUCUCGCGAACGCGUAGACUUGGCAGCCAGUACCCUUCGCGAACGCGAUGAAUACUGUCGCCCAGCACUUAACAGAAUCCAAAAACGGAAUUUUAGCCAAAAACUCAUUUUUCUCAAAAAACAAGCGGUGAGAGGCAGUUUUUCAAGAGCUAUUUCUUCCCUAAAUUGUUGAUAAGUGAUUCUAAACCAUUUUCUUUCAAUUACCCAUUACAUUUUNNNNNNNNNNNNNNNNNNNNNNNNNGAGGUCGGAUUCCAAAACCAAUUAUAUAUUCGGGAUCGGGGAUGAAUGGGUAAGUAGAUUUUGGUCCGAACCUCGGGUUUUGAUCAAGCGGGUCCGGGGUCGAUUUUUCGACUUUUUGGAGAAAAAUUUAGGAAAUUUAAUUUAUGCAAUAUAAUUGACUCCUUUAGCAAUAUUUGAUAUUAUUGAGUUAUUUUUGAAUAGAUACGAGUGGUUUGGAGAUGAAUUCUAAAGGAAAAGCUGUGAUUGAGAAUUAAGUGGCCUUCAGAGCGAUGUAAGUGUUGUUUCUAACCCUGACUUGAGGGAAUUAGGAACCUUAGAUUACUUGCUAAGUGAAAUCCAUGUGAGCAACGUAUAUGUGAGGUGACAAGUACUUAUGUGCCGCCAAUUUACCUGUUUUCCAUGUUUCUCUGUUUUCCUUAUAUUGUCUCUUUCCUAUGCCAAAUUGCUAUGUGUUAUAUUAGUGUUGUUCAAUUUAUCGUUCUUAUCAUGUUUACGAAUUUUCUGGUGAUAAUUGAGUGUUUAUUUCAAAGUUGAGAUUGAUAUUAUGGAACCAAAUGUUGAAGUAAUGUUUGUACUUAUUAAUCUAUCUCUCUGUUGUUAUUUAUGCAUUGCAUUAUGGUAAGGGAGAGUGUUAAUACACGAAGGGUGAUGCCAUGCCAUAUUGUGAGUGUUAAUGCACGAAGGGUGAUGUCGUGCUAUGAUAUGAAAGUUAAUGCACGAAGGGUGAUGCCGUGCCGUUUCUAUUAAUUUUAGGUGAGAUUGAGAGUAAAAGCACAAAGGGUGAUGCCGUAUAUUUUUCAUGGUAUAUUGACUGCUCCGAUGAUCAUUCUAUUGUAGUUCUUUAUCUUGUAUUCCCCUACGUAUGUUCCCCUCCCGACAUUUUCUGUUUAGUUCUUCAUCUCUGUUAUUUAUAUAUACACUAUUAAAUUGUACAGGUUGAUUUGUAGGUGCCUUGCCUUAGCCUCGUCACUACUUCGUCGAGGUUAGGAUCGACACUUACCAGUAUAUGGGAUCGGUUGUACUGAUACUACACUCUGCACUUUCUGUGCAGAUUUUGAUAUCGGCUCGGGUUGAUCGAGAUUUUGCUAUUGGUCCGCUGUCCGGAGACUCAAUGUAGAUCUGUCGGUGUUCACAGACCUUGAAGUCCCCGUCUAUCUUUUCUGUUCUACUGUUUCUUUCAUUCAGACAUUUGUAUUUCUUUCUGACUAUUAGUUGUAGCAAAUUCUAGAAUGCUCGUGAAUUGUGACUCAAGAUCCGGGGUAGUAAUUAAUACAGUUUUAUAAUAUUCCGUACUUAUUAUAUUUCAUCUUAGUUAAUUAUUGUUAUUUACUGAAUGGAAAUAAGGAAUUGGUCUAACGAUUUUCUAACGUUGGCUUGCCUAACAAGUGAAAUGUCAGGCGCCAUCAUGGUCCCGUCGGUGAGAAAUUUCGGAUCGUGACAAUAGAACAAAGACAAUAGCAAAGGAAAUGAUAGAAGGUCUCUACAAAGAACAAUAUGCAAAAUUAGAGGACUAUUGUGCAGAACUCAAGAGAAAGAAUCCAGGAUCAAUUGUAUUGUUAGAAACAACACCUCAUGAAGAGGAUGGCAGACCUGUUUUUGAAAAAAUGUACAUAUGUCUUGAGCCCUGCAGAAGAGGUUGGAUGGAAGGUUGUAGGCCACUCAUUAGGAUAGACGGUUUCUUUCUUUAAGGACCAUAUGGAGGUCAACUUUUGACAGUAAUUGGGAUAGAUGCUGAUAAUGGUAUAUUUCCUAUAGCCUACGCUGUAGUUGAUAUUGAAAAUAAGCAUAACUAGAAGUGAUUUUUAAAUUUGUUGGUGGAUGACUUGCAAAUUAGAAAUCAUGAUAACUUAUGUCUCAUUACAGACAAACAAAAGGUAAGAUUUUUUAUCCACAUAUAAUACCAAAUUCUAAUUGCUUUCAAUUAUCAAAAUUAGCCAUGUUUAUUAUUCUACUCACUUUUGUAGGGUUUGGAGGGAGCUAUUUAUGAGACAGUUCUCCAAGUUGAACAUAGGCUUUGUGUAAGACAUUUGUAUAAUAAUUUCAAGAAAGAGCACAAAGGUUUAUCGUUGAAGAUAAGAGUUUGGAAAGCUGCAAGGGCAACUCAUGUAAGUAAGUAUAGAUAUGAGAUGGAUAUGCUGGAAAAGGAGGACAAAGAAGUUAGAAAUUAGUUCAACGAUAGACCACCCAAAUUCUGGAGCAAGUCACAUUUUAGAACAACAACAAAGUGUGAUAUGCUUUUGAAUAAUCUUUGUGAGGCAUCAAUGGGACAAAACCCAUUUUGAGGGCAAGGGAGAAACCUAUACUUGGACUACUUGAAGGAAUUAGAAUAUACUUGAUGAAGAAACUGAACCAAAAGAGGGAAGACCUGCUCAAAUACCAAGGUAAUAUUGUUAUUGUAACUUCUCUGAAGCACAAAAUAUUUAACAUGAUCCUGACAAUAUUUUACUAUAACAGGAAAUUUAUGCCCUCGAAUCCGAAAACUAGUAAAAAAAGUGAAGGAAGACUCGGCUACAUCAAUUCCUACUUGGGCUGAAAAAUUUUCAUUUCAAGUAAAGACCAUGUAUGGUGAACAAUUUAGUGUUGACUUGAGUGGAAGAAUCUAUUCAUGUAGGGGAUGGGACCUUACAGGAAUCUCAUGCUCACAUGCAAUGAGCUGCAUAUUCCAUAUAAGAGAGAAUCCAAAAAAUUUCAUACAUGAUUGUUACAAGAAGACUGCUCAAAUGAGGAUUUAUGAGCCAGUCAUUGCUCCAAUGGAUGGACCUGAUAUGUGGGAACCUACUGAUCUACUUGAUGUUAACCCUCCUAACUAUGAGCCGAAGACAAGUAAGUUGAACAAAAAUAGAAGAAAAGAGCCCGAUGAAAUUGAAGCCUCCGAGAGAAAAGUAGUUGAGAUGAAAAAACAGAGAAGAGAGAAAAAGAAAAAAUAAUCUACAACAAGUGAAAUGCAUGAUGUUACCAAAUUGAGUAAGAAAGGGAAGUUAGGGAGGUGUAGCAAGUUCUUGCAAACUGGUCACAACAAAAUAACUUGCAACAAGAGUAGCGAUUCCUCGAAUUCAACAACUCUACCUCAAGCUACUCAAACAACUCAAGAUUGGUGCCAAAAUGCUACAAGUCAAUCCCCACCCAAGUAAGCAAAUCAAUUUUGAGUCCACUUAUUGGACUGGACAUAUAAAUGAACCUUCCAAACUCAAUGUAAGUAUGGAACCUUGAAUAUAGGUGAUUUAGUACUUUGAGAGACAGUUAAUAUAUUUGUGUUCUUUAUUUAUUUUCACAGCUAAGAAGGCCAAUGGAGGAUGAUUCAUCUCAUAGACCUGCGCGAGCUCAAGUUGGUGGCAUUGUGUUAAAUGCUGAGAAGUAUAUGUAGAAUGGAAAAAAUUGUAUUAGCUUACAAACCCUUCAAAAUACAAGUGCUAUAGAGAAGUCCAAGAAAAAGAGCUUUGAUGUGGAAGAAAAUAGAAGCAAUUAGCAUAUGAAAUUAUCAGCAAGAACAAAUUUUAAUUUCAUCAAGACUUCUUUUGUUGUUUAAUGGAUAUUUCCCUAUCAUUUAUUCCUAAGAGAUUUUCAAUGUCAAGUUUGUCAUUUACCUUUACAAUUUAAUUUUAGUAUUUUUACUCUUCGAAGCCUUUUAUUUGUAUAUCCUAUUUUGCCCUCAUAAAAAAUUUAUAUAAAUGGUGGUUUUAUUAUUUUGCAAGAGAAUAAAGAGGUUAGGGUUGAAAUCGUAUAAAAAAAUAAGACAGGGUGCAAAUCACAAAAAAGGAUACACAUUAGAGGUGCAAAAUGCGACGGACUCAAAGAAUCUGAGUAUAUAAGUCUUCCGAGGCAUUCCCCUAAAAUAGUAUAAAUAAAGGCGUCUAUAAAUAAAUAAAUAAAUAAAGUCUAGAGAAAGAUUUGUUGUUACCGCUGAGAUGAAUCAACAGAGCCUGCACUCUAAGUCACGAAAAUAUGUCUCUAAUCACGGAUUUUCACCUACAAACGCAACACCUACCGCACGACGUGGUAGGCCCAAACGGGCUAAGUACCACCAAAGGAUAGCUAGAAGUCUCAUUGACUGCCCCCAAAGGUGGAGGGCAAGACUAGCGUGGGCCACAUAAAUAUAAAAAAAAUACAGCAAGUAGAGCAGACAAUUCAUAUAAAAAUAAUUGAAUAAUCUAAAAAGCUAAAACUUGUUUUGAUAACUGAAUUCAGAUUAGUAAAUGAAAGUCGAAGCUAUAAACUAAUUUUGUAUCUAAUAAAUGAAACUAAAACUUAAAACUGAGUCUAAAACUGAUAUCUGAAACUGAAGUUGAAAACUGUGUUACUUUUAAAAAAAUAGUUUUUCUGAAAAUAUUGCACAUAAUGGCGCUAUGUAUAUGAGGAUCUGGGCACCGUAUGGGGACUGUUAAAGCUACUUUGGAGCCUCCGGUCAUGCUUACUGAAACUCAAUCUGUAUGUGGGGCCAUCGAGUGACUCAAUCAAGCUUAACACGUCUGAACGUGCUAGCAUCUACAAGCAUGUGGUAGCUAGCCCUGGCCACCGUGACACUCAUGCUCGUGGAGGGUAUCUACUUUUCUCUUUUUGAAUCUGAAUCUGAAUUUGAAUAUUUUAGGCCCUCGUGGAUAAAGUCUCCACUAUACUAACUCAUACACACUAAGCCCUCGUGGAUAAAGUGAGACUAUAUUAUUUUUUUUCUUCUGAAUCUGAACUGAAAGUUUGAGCAGUACAAGCAAUUUCACGUAAACAAUCAAUCAGAGAACAUCAAGAACCUAUUCAUUUUCUGUUCUAAAUAUGAACUGUAGGUCUGAGCAAUAUAAGUAGCUUCACAUAAUAACAAUUCCACAUAAUCAAAUAAUUACAACAAGGCAUACUAUUUAAGAUUUCUCGUAUUAGAGGUUUUCAUUGUAUAUAUAUAGUAAGGCAAGCAAGCAAGCAAUAUACUAUUCACAUUUUAAUAUAGCCCUUUACUUAGGGAAGAAAGUUCAAAUCACCUCUAAUGGGGUGCUCAAGUUUUUCCUUCCAAGAACUCACGAAUUCGGCUCCUCAAAAUCUACAGUUAAGCAGUUACAAUCAUUAUUUUGUCCUACUAACUCAACACCCAUAAUUCACUCGAGGCUUUAUUGGCCAGCAAUAACUUUUCAUAACUUUCUACCCAUAACUCUUAUAAAUUUCAUAAUCUGUAGUCAUAGUCUGUCAUAAAAUUACUAACUUUAAUACUAAUAGGUAACGAAACGUAUCUUGAAUGAUGCCUCCACAAACCCUGGGUCUUGACGAACGCUUGAUUUUUUGGGUGAAAACCUAGAUUUUAGGAAUUAGAAGGUGUUAAACGAUGUUAAUCUAAAUUUUUUAACUUGAAUCCAUGGUAGAAAUCUUACCUUGGGUGGAUUGGUGAAUCCCUAAUCAAGUCGUUCUUGCUCUCAAAAUCUCUCCAAAAUACAGUAGAAAUAAGUGAACUUCUCUCAUUUUGAAGUGCCUCAACCUGACACGUUAUGCCACACGUCGCAUGGCACCUCGAAAUUUUUUAGAAACUCAAAUUUUCGCCCAUUUGACCCAAAUUUGGCCUGGCAUGUCGAGCCGCACGUAUGACACGUUGUUUUAGGAUAUUUUUUUCGGAAC
RNAcentral lists this long non-coding RNA (20082 nucleotides) under Nicotiana tabacum (common tobacco). Its description in RNAcentral is "long non-coding RNA (NTAB_LNC001818)". The record is from RNAcentral. Lineage: Eukaryota; Viridiplantae; Streptophyta; Magnoliopsida; Solanales; Solanaceae.